AGCGCCGCAGGGCGCCUCCUCUCAUUGCUGCAAAGACCCUCCCCCUCCUCCACGACACCAACUGUUCGGAGGGCGUCCGCAGCCGUUUGAAUAGCCCGGGCGGCGGCGCUGAUUGGACUGCGGCCGCAUCACGUGACACGCCGGGCGAGCGGAGGCGGGGGAGAAGGCCACUCAGGGCUGGCUUAGCAGGAGCAGGGGCGGGGCUUUUCCGACUGCUCCCUCGGUGAAGGGAUGCGCCCUGCUAGGGCUGCGCACGCUCCGCAGGAUUCCUGAGGACCUCCGCGGCUGGUGGCCGGCCCAACCCAGAACAAGGACCCACCUACAACAUCCCUGACAGCUCCCCGCCCACCCGCCCCCCAGCCAAUGCCGUUCGUCCCAGCCCCCGGGGUUACCGUGUUUUGUAGUCUUCUCUGCAUCCAGGCUGUCCCCAAAGACUCGGUGCUCCCUGCCUGGGGUCCGCACCCCAAGGACCCCGCGGCCCUUCCGUCUGCCUUGUGCCGAACCCCCGCAAGUGAAAAGGGUCUCCCCUUUAGAGCUCCCAGCAGCAAAGACCGUGUCUGCUGGUAUACGGAGGGCUUAACCGCGGGGCUGAGAAGAAGUCAGUGUCCCAGCAAGGAACGCCCCGCUCUUCCGUGGUCCCAGCCCACGAGCCAUGAUGUAUCGCGCCCAUCAGCACACUUACACGGACAGCACUUGAAGGGUUCUCGGUAAAUAGUAUCGAUGGAAAACCCUUCGGAGACGUUCAUUCAGUACUGAGCCUCGUCGGGCUCUGUGCCGGGCGGAAUCAUUCCUAGUGGAGGAAGCCCAGUCAGGGAGAGAGCGGGGAAGGGCGCCCAGCCGGGAAGGGUCCGAGGCAGCCUUUGCUCGCUUCGCCUCCUCCCGGCUGCUUCUAGAAUCAUCUCUUCUUAAAUGACUCGUUCACCCUCCUCCAAAUGUCUGCCGCUUGGGCUGGGCGACCCUUGGGCGCACGGAAAGGGAUGAACGGGCGCCGCUGUCGCUGCUGGUCCUCAGGGUCGCCACCGUGCCCUGUCUUCACUCUCCUGAACAAACCCCCAGAGGCCUCCUGCCAAACUGACCCUGGACCGCCCGCAGGUGCUGCCGGGGUCACUGUUCUAGUGCUCCAUCUUUCCCACCCAAAGAGCUCAGAUAUUUCACUAAGCAUCAGAGAUUUAGAGGUGAAAGAACCUCAGAGGCCAUCUAGUCAAAUAUUCCAUUUUACUGAUGAGAUAACUGAGUCCAAGAGAUCCUCUGCCCAACCUCACAUAGCCAAGGACUCAUCAGCAUGGCAACCAUCUUGUCGAGAGCAUGAGUCAUAUGCUGCAAGUGUGAAAAGGGAUUUAUCUGCCAUAGUACUGUAA
This 1358-nucleotide long non-coding RNA is filed under the name Monodelphis domestica (gray short-tailed opossum). RNAcentral describes it as "lncRNA (ENSMODG00000042949.1)". Lineage: Eukaryota; Metazoa; Chordata; Mammalia; Didelphimorphia; Didelphidae. The record is from RNAcentral.